RNAcentral lists this long non-coding RNA (2097 nucleotides) under Theobroma cacao (cacao). RNAcentral's name for it is "long non-coding RNA (TCAC_LNC000323)". Lineage: Eukaryota; Viridiplantae; Streptophyta; Magnoliopsida; Malvales; Malvaceae. The record is from RNAcentral.
UUCCGAAUCACCUUUUAUCUCACAAAUUCUCUUUCGAAUAAAAUAUUAUUAUUUUAUUAUUAUUUUCUCGCGUGCGAAAUAUUUUAUCCUAAACUAUUCCUUUCAUCUUUCAUCACUUUUAAACAUUAUAAUUGGCCUCAAUUCGCAUCCGAUAAGCUUUAUUUGUCAUCAUAUCAAAGUAUGGGGUAUUACAAUAGGAUUGCUUGAACUUAAAGUUGAAUAUGAUCAAAUUUGUGAUGCAUGUCAACUAGGUAAACAAAUUAGACCAUCUUUCAAAACCAAGAAGGUUGUCUCCACCUCUCGACCUCUUGAAUUACUGCACAUUGAUUUAUUUGGACCUAUUAGCACAACUAGUCUAAGAGGAAAAUCAUACGGCUUUGUGAUAGUUGAUGACUACUCUAGGUAUACUUGGGUCUACUUCCUUGCUCAUAAGAAUGAUACACUACCAGCAUUUAUAAAUCAUUGUAGGAAAGUUGAAAAUGAAAAAGGACUUGUCAUAGUUAGUAUUAGGAGUGAUCAUGGUGGUGAGUUUGAAGGAGAUGAGUUUGAAAACUUUUGCUAUGAAAAGUGGUUGGAUCAUAGUUUUUUUGCACCUAGAACGCCCUAGCAAAAUUGUCACGACUCGAUGCUCCCCUUGAGCCCAUGACAAUCGUCGCGACGUCUUGAUAAACAUUCAUUGCCUGGAAUGUCAACCGGAACCUCGCAAGGCUUUAAUAUCAGUCUUCACACCUCCCCUAUGAGUAACAGUUGUUAAGUAUCAUUUUUUGAGAGAUUAUAAACUAUUUCCAAAUCAAAACAAUAGAAAAAUAAUUUUUUUCUCACAGGGGCAUUUUGGUCAUUUUUCCUCAAAAAUCUCGAAACCAACUAAAAAUGUAGUAUGCGAGUGGAAAACACAUAUUUCAUAAUAAAAAAUAAGUUUAGAUGUCUAAAACAUUCAUUUAAAGUGAAACUAUAACUAUUUGAAUAUAAUAAAAAUAUUCAAUAAAAUAUUCUAUUUUCUUAUAAAACAAUAUUUAUAGAGUUACCGGUAAAUAAUUUUUUUAACGUAAAAGCUAAAUAAAUUCAUACAUAUUGUAAUACAGAUAACCAAAGCAUAAGAUUUAAUUUACAGUGACACGUGGGCCCAUGAACAACCAAAAGUACCAAAAGCAGUAAACCUACAGUUUUUGAUGAUGCAAGUCCAACUGCAACCCUCAACGAAAUGAGCUAUGUACCGACUAUCUUGAGCCUGAAAUGGGUGAAAAUGAGGGUGGUGAGAUUAUAUAAUCCCAGUGAGCAAACAAAUAUCAUCCAAAAUAUCUAAAGCUAAGUAAAUGGAGACAGAUUAAAAUAGAUUAUCAUACUGUAAUUCAUUACCUUUCAACUCAUUUCAACCAAAUAAAAUCAAUUCAUAUAAAUCGAGUAAUCAACAUGGCUUAUGAAUUUGUUAAAACUUUGGCUCGUGCCAAAAUCAUUCUCAUACUCGGUUGUUAGGGAUACCUUGGCCUGGGGCUAUCCUAACCGAGUUCGCCAAGGUUGUUAAAAAGUCAUGUACGCAUAAAUCAUGUUUUUAUUUUGAAAACAUAGCCGUUCCUUGGCGUUGGCUGAGUUCACGCUCACGUGGUGCUUUGGCGUGAAGUGAACUUUAAAGAUGUACCUCGGGAGUUACCCUACACACCUCUCCGAUCGAGGUAAGAAUAUAACGGGGUUACCGUGCCCCUCUAAUAGGUUGGUCCACGAAACUCGCCCACUGCAGCAAGCUAAACCCACCAAUUCAAUAAAAUCUCAACCGCAUGACAUGGCAAUUAUAUCACAAUCCAGCCUCUCAAGGCUAAAUACACAGUUCAUAUAUUUCAACACAAAUACCAAUUCAACCAUUCAUGCAAAUAUUGUCAUAAGCCAUUCGAUUCAAACCAUGAAUUUACAACACAUGAAAACAGUCUCCAAUUACUCUAUUUUCAAACCAUCAUUUCAUUUCAAGACAAUGUUAUAAAAUCAUUUCAUUAAAUCACAUUUUAAUUACAAAACACAAAGAUUUACCAUUUAACUCAUUUUCCAUAAAAUCACAAAAUCGGAUAAAAACCACUUUAGAUAAUUAAGAUGAUAGUAAGGUUACUC